This 504-nucleotide unclassified non-coding RNA is filed under the name Hevea brasiliensis (rubber tree). Lineage: Eukaryota; Viridiplantae; Streptophyta; Magnoliopsida; Malpighiales; Euphorbiaceae. The record is from RNAcentral.
GUCUUGCUAUUGCUUAAUGUUCCUUUACCGUUUGGGUAAGGUUAAUAAGUUGUCAAGUGGUAGGAUUGAGAACUGGCAUUUAUGCUCUGCUUGAGACUGACAGGCUCUGAAAUGCUGUCCCCAAAGUGGAUAAUUUGACUCUUAUUGAAGAGUUGUGGUCUUCUUGUGUUCUCAGGUACAGAGUCUGAGUCUGCAGUCCAUUCUUUCAACUGACAAACUUUCCUUGGCUAAAAUGAUUGCUUUGAUAGUGCCUGUCAGUUACUUGGCAGCUUGUGAGCCAAAUUUGGGAUUUCUGGCUGUGCCUUCUGGGGACUACUUGCAAACGUUUUGGGUCUGUAUUAUGAGAAAUUUCUGCUUAAUUAUGUUUGGGGUUGGGACUGCUGAGUCUAGCUAUGCCAUUUUGUACUUUAGCACCAUGUGUAACCAAGUUGAAACCUAAUUCCUUUGGGGAAAAACAUUUUUAUUUUUAUUUAAAAGCAAAAGAUAUGAGUGGAGAAAGCGAAU